This 378-nucleotide ribosomal RNA is filed under the name Sclerophrys cf. tuberosa HCL-2014. RNAcentral describes it as "partial 12S ribosomal RNA". It matches the Rfam family "Bacterial small subunit ribosomal RNA", at positions 794 to 1384 of the family's 1533-position model. The record is from RNAcentral. Lineage: Eukaryota; Metazoa; Chordata; Amphibia; Anura; Bufonidae.
GCCCAGCCGUAAACUUUUACUUACACCUCAAUCGCCCGGGAACUACUAGCUAAGCUUAAAACCCAAAGGACUUGACGGUACCCCAUAUCCAUCUAGAGGAGCCUGUUCUGUAAUCGAUAAUCCACGUUUAACCUCACCACUUUUAGUUAACCAGCCUGUAUACCUCCGUCGUCAGCUUACCACGUGAGCGCCAAUUAGUGAGCCUAAUGUUUUUCACCAGCACGUCAGGUCAAGGUGCAGUAAAUGAAGUGGGAAGAGAUGGGCUACACUUUCUACUUAUAGAAGAAACGAAAGACUACAUAUGAAAUCUAGUUCGAAGGCGGAUUUAGCAGUAAAAUGGAAUCAGCAUGUCCAUUUUAAUCCGGCACUGGGGUGUGU